This 751-nucleotide ribosomal RNA is filed under the name Rhizopogon exiguus. RNAcentral's name for it is "eukaryotic LSU rRNA". It matches the Rfam family "Eukaryotic large subunit ribosomal RNA", at positions 46 to 767 of the family's 3401-position model. Lineage: Eukaryota; Fungi; Basidiomycota; Agaricomycetes; Boletales; Rhizopogonaceae. The record is from RNAcentral.
AUAAGCGGAGGAAAAGAAAACUAACAAGGAUUCCCCCUAGUAACUGCGAGUGAACCGGGAAAAGCUCAAAUUUUGAAUCUGGCGGUCGUCGAGGCCGUCCGAAUUGUAAUCUAGAGAAGCGUUUUCCGCGCUGGACCGUGUAUAAGUUUCCUGGAAUGGAACGUCGUAGAGGGUGAGAAUCCCGUCUUUGACACGGACUACCAGGGCUAUGUGAUGCGCUCUCGACGAGUCGAGUUGUUUGGGAAUGCAGCUCAAAUUGGGUGGUAAAUUCCAUCUAAAGCUAAAUACAGGCGAGAGACCGAUAGCGAACAAGUACCGUGAGGGAAAGAUGAAAAGAACUUUGGAAAGAGAGUUAAACAGUACGUGAAAUUGCUGAAAGGGAAACGCUUGAUGUCAGUCGCGUUGGCCGGGGAUCAACCUUGCUUAAUCGCUGGGGGUACUUCCUGGUGGACGGGUCAGCAUCAGUUUUGAUCGUCGGAAAAUGGCUUGAGGAAUGUGGCACUCUUUCGGGAGUGUGUUAUAGACUCUUGUCGAAUACGAUGGUUGGGAUUGAGGAACUCAGCACGACCUUAGGGUUCGGGACUUUGGUCCACGUUUGCGUGCUUAGGAUGCUGGCAUAAUGGCCUUAAGCGACCCGUCUUGAAACACGGACCAAGGAGUCUAACGUGCAUGCGAGUGUUUGGGUGUUAAAACCCGAGCGCGUAAUGAAAGUGAAAGUCGAGACCUCUGUCGUGGAGGGCACCGACGCCCG